RNAcentral lists this small RNA (27 nucleotides) under Bombyx mori (domestic silkworm). RNAcentral describes it as "ovarian small RNA-2532". Lineage: Eukaryota; Metazoa; Arthropoda; Insecta; Lepidoptera; Bombycidae. The record is from RNAcentral.
AUCCACAAUAAAGCAAUGGGUGCAAAU